RNAcentral lists this ribosomal RNA (521 nucleotides) under uncultured Geobacillus sp. RNAcentral describes it as "bacterial SSU rRNA". It matches the Rfam family "Bacterial small subunit ribosomal RNA", at positions 8 to 507 of the family's 1533-position model. Lineage: Bacteria; Bacillati; Bacillota; Bacilli; Caryophanales; Anoxybacillaceae. The record is from RNAcentral.
AGAGUUUGAUCCUGGCUCAGGACGAACGCUGGCGGCGUGCCUAAUACAUGCAAGUCGAGCGGACCGGAUUGGGGCUUGCCUUGAUUCGGUCAGCGGCGGACGGGUGAGUAACACGUGGGCAACCUGCCCGCAAGACCGGGAUAACUCCGGGAAACCGGAGCUAAUACCGGAUAACACCGAAGACCGCAUGGUCUUCGGUUGAAAGGCGGCCUUUGGGCUGUCACUUGCGGAUGGGCCCGCGGCGCAUUAGCUAGUUGGUGAGGUAACGGCUCACCAAGGCGACGAUGCGUAGCCGGCCUGAGAGGGUGACCGGCCACACUGGGACUGAGACACGGCCCAGACUCCUACGGGAGGCAGCAGUAGGGAAUCUUCCGCAAUGGGCGAAAGCCUGACGGAGCGACGCCGCGUGAGCGAAGAAGGCCUUCGGGUCGUAAAGCUCUGUUGUGAGGGACGGAGGAGCGCCGUUCGAAGAGGGCGGCGCGGUGACGGUACCUCACGAGAAAGCCCCGGCUAACUACGUG